This is a long non-coding RNA of Myotis lucifugus (little brown bat), 1354 nucleotides long. RefSeq lists it as uncharacterized. Lineage: Eukaryota; Metazoa; Chordata; Mammalia; Chiroptera; Vespertilionidae. The transcript is spliced from 3 exons. The record is from RefSeq and is a predicted model, not a curated record.
CUCCUAUCCAGUUAUUCUCUGUGGCCCCUGACAGCUUAGGAGCUCUCAUCUCUUUGACAUCAAGGGCUCUGACCACCAGUGGCCACUGAGUGUUCCACAACUGGUUUGAGUUCUCUCUGGAUCUGAGAUGGCAAAUGAUGAUCGUUAAGGUCAUAGGCUUAAAAGCCACACCUGGAUUCAAAACCCUGUCACUUAUUAACCCUGUGACCUCAGGCAAGUGACUAAACUCAACUUUGGCUUCCUAGUCUGCCAGCUGCUGCUGCUGCACCUAGUCAUGGCGAGCAUGAAAUAAUCCCAACUGCCGGGCCCAUUAUGUUCCCUCCUUCCAAAUACGCAUCUGCCUGUAACACUUCGCUCCCCCUCUCUUACUGAAUCAUCUAUCCUUCACUUCAGAUCCCAGGUCACCACAGACUAGGUUAAGGACCCCUCGGUGGUCGCUCUCAUAACUACUUUUCUCUCAGGGUACUUAUCAAGUUGAUAAUUAAACUUCUGUGUGAUCAUUUAAUCAACGUGCAUUUCAUCAAUGCUUCAGACUGUGGGCUUCGGAGGGUACCCUGGCUCCUAGCAACCGUUCAGUAAAUAAUAGAUAUUUCGCUAUUAAGCAGCACUUGAGCGCACUGGAGGCAUCCGGCCUGCCCUGGCCCCUAGGGCGGGUGGGAAGCGGGGGGCCGGGCCGGGGCUAGUCUGUGGUCUCGCAGGGUUGGGGGCUGGGUCCUUCCCAAGGCACUUCUGUCUGACUCCUUCACACACAGCAGCACGAGCAACCCAGGGGACGGCUGCACGCCAGGCCGACCGCGCCCUACGCUGGCGGGCGAACUCAGGAGCCCGCCUGCAGGGAAGUCACUCAGAGAACCCAAGUGGGAGCCUACAGCCAAUCGGACCGACAGAGGCAUUUUCUUCUCUCCAAUCAACAUCACCACCCGCUCGGAGAACUGGGGAAAGUUCCCACCACACAGACCUCUGAUGGCCUGUCAGUUCUCCCAGUUCAAGUUCCUGGAUGUCCCCUCCUCCCAUAGCCAACUUCCUGCAGACCCUCUGGCAGCCAGAUCUCACACGCCCUGGCCCGUGUUGUGCCUUCACGUCAGCUCAGGAAGACCCUCCCUCCACUCACCGGGCUCCCUCAUGGAAGUACCUGCAUUGGAGGCCCGUCAGGACCCUGGCAAGGUGCCUGCCCAGCUGCUGCGAUCUCUGCCAUCCGCUUCUCCAUCUGCUCCAGCCGCUCCAGUAUGGACAUCCGGAACUGGUUGUCUGAGGGGGAGAGGGUAUGGGAGGCUCACGGGCAGGGUCUAGGUGAUGCCCUUAACACAGAACUAGACCUAUCCCAGGAUCUGGGAGGUAAAGACACUGAAUCAUA